RNAcentral lists this ribosomal RNA (321 nucleotides) under uncultured bacterium. RNAcentral describes it as "bacterial SSU rRNA". It matches the Rfam family "Bacterial small subunit ribosomal RNA", at positions 470 to 789 of the family's 1533-position model. The record is from RNAcentral.
UGACGGUACCUGACUAAGAAGCUCCGGCUAAAUACGUGCCAGCAGCCGCGGUAAUACGUAUGGAGCAAGCGUUAUCCGGAUUUACUGGGUGUAAAGGGAGCGUAGGCGGUGAUGCAAGUCAGAAGUGAAAACCCGGGGCUCAACCCCGUGGAUUGCUUUUGAAACUGUCUAGCUGGAGUGCAGGAGAGGUAAGCGGAAUUCCUGGUGUAGCGGUGAAAUGCGUAGAUAUCAGGAAGAACACCGGUGGCGAAGGCGGCUUACUGGACUGUAACUGACGUUGAGGCUCGAAAGCGUGGGGAGCAAACAGGAUUAGAUACCCUG